CCUACGGGAGGCAGCAGUGAGGAAUUUUGCGCAAUGGGGGAAACCCUGACGCAGCAACGCCGCGUGGGUGAAGAAGGCCUUCGGGUCGUAAAGCCCUGUCAGGUGGGAAGAAUGUCCCAGGGGUGAAUAGUCUUUGGGAGUGACGGUACCACCAGAGGAAGCACCGGCUAACUCCGUGCCAGCAGCCGCGGUAAUACGGAGGGUGCGAGCGUUGUUCGGAAUCAUUGGGCGUAAAGGGCGUGCAGGCGGCUGGGUAAGUCUGAUGUGAAAGCCCGGGGCUCAACCCCGGAAGUGCAUUGGAAACUGCUCAGCUUGAGUACCGGAGAGGAUGGGGGAAUUCCCGGUGUAGAGGUGAAAUUCGUAGAGAUCGGGAGGAAUACCAGUGGCGAAGGCGCCCAUCUGGACGGAUACUGACGCUGAGACGCGAAAGCGUGGGGAGCAAACAGGAUUAGAUACCCUGGUAGUCCACGCCGUAAACGAUGAGUGCUAAGUGUUAGGGGGUUUCCGCCCCUUAGUGCUGCAGCUAACGCAUUAAGCACUCCGCCUGGGGAGUACGAUCGCAAGAUUGAAACUCAAAGGAAUUGACGG
This 588-nucleotide ribosomal RNA is filed under the name uncultured bacterium. RNAcentral describes it as "bacterial SSU rRNA". It matches the Rfam family "Bacterial small subunit ribosomal RNA", at positions 338 to 916 of the family's 1533-position model. The record is from RNAcentral.